Molecule: ribosomal RNA, 225 nt
Filed under: Grifola frondosa (maitake)
Lineage: Eukaryota; Fungi; Basidiomycota; Agaricomycetes; Polyporales; Grifolaceae
Description: partial large subunit ribosomal RNA
Source: RNAcentral
AAAGAGAGUUAAACAGUACGUGAAAUUGCUGAAAGGGAAACGCUUGAAGUCAGUCGCGUCGUCCGGAACUCAGCCUCGCCUUCGCUUGGUGCAUUUUCCGGUCGACGGGCCAGCAUCGAUUUCGACUGUCGGAUAAAGGCUGGGGGAAUGUGGCACCUUCGGGUGUGUUAUAGCCUCCAGUCACAUACGACGGUUGGGAUCGAGGAACUCAGCACGCCUUUAUGG